UUUGACCACUUGGGGAGCCAUUCGGCUGAGAGUGAACUUUAUGUUCAGACCCGUUGAACCUGUAUAGUUAAAGCUUACGUAGGGAUGUGGCGAUGGAUUCAA
Molecule: non-coding RNA, 102 nt
Filed under: Bacillus sp. (in: firmicutes)
Lineage: Bacteria; Bacillati; Bacillota; Bacilli; Caryophanales; Bacillaceae
Description: Bacillus sp. TPP sequence
Rfam family: TPP riboswitch aptamer (THI element)
About the family: Vitamin B(1) in its active form thiamin pyrophosphate (TPP) is an essential coenzyme that is synthesised by coupling of pyrimidine and thiazole moieties in bacteria. The previously detected thiamin-regulatory element, thi box was extended, resulting in a new, highly conserved RNA secondary structure, the THI element, which is widely distributed in eubacteria and also occurs in some archaea.
Source: RNAcentral